AGUGAACGCUGGCGGUAGGCCUAACACAUGCAAGUCGAACGGCAGCACAGUAAGAGCUUGCUCUUACGGGUGGCGAGUGGCGGACGGGUGAGGAAUACAUCGGAAUCUACUUUUUCGUGGGGGAUAACGUAGGGAAACUUACGCUAAUACCGCAUACGACCUACGGGUGAAAGCAGGGGAUCUUCGGACCUUGCGCGAUUGAAUGAGCCGAUGUCGGAUUAGCUAGUUGGCGGGGUAAAGGCCCACCAAGGCGACGAUCCGUAGCUGGUCUGAGAGGAUGAUCAGCCACACUGGAACUGAGACACGGUCCAGACUCCUACGGGAGGGAGCAGUGGGGAAUAUUGGACAAUGGGCGCAAGCCUGAUCCAGACAUACCGCGUGGGUGAAGAAGGCCUUCGGGUUGUAAAGCCCUUUUGUUGGGAAAGAAAAGCAGCAGGUUAAUACCCCGCUGUUCUGACGGUACCCAAAGAAUAAGCACCGGCUAACUUCGUG
RNAcentral lists this ribosomal RNA (492 nucleotides) under uncultured bacterium. Its description in RNAcentral is "partial 16S ribosomal RNA". It matches the Rfam family "Bacterial small subunit ribosomal RNA", at positions 29 to 507 of the family's 1533-position model. The record is from RNAcentral.